RNAcentral lists this ribosomal RNA (586 nucleotides) under uncultured Glomus. RNAcentral describes it as "eukaryotic LSU rRNA". It matches the Rfam family "Eukaryotic large subunit ribosomal RNA", at positions 204 to 637 of the family's 3401-position model. The record is from RNAcentral. Lineage: Eukaryota; Fungi; Glomeromycota; Glomeromycetes; Glomerales; Glomeraceae.
CAUGGAGGGUGAGAAUCCCGUUCAUGGUUAAUAUCAAGAUGCUUUACGAUACGUUUUCAAAGAGUCGAGUUGUUUGGGAUUGCAGCUCAAAAUGGGAGGUAAAUUUCUCCUAAAGCUAAAUAUUGGCGAGAGACCGAUAGCGAACAAGUACCGUGAGGGAAAGAUGAAAAGAACUUUGAAAAGAGAGUUAAACAGUACGUGAAAUUGUUGAAAGGGAAACGAUUGAAGUCAGUCGUACUAACGGGAAAUCAACCUUUUUGAGUUGUGAAUUUUGGAUUUUGAAGAGUUUAAACCUUCGGGUUCAAAUAUUUGCGGCUUUUUGGGCGUAAUUUCUCGUUCGGUAGGUUAACAUCGAUUUUGAAGAUUAUAAAAUGACCGGAGGAAUGUAGCUUCGAUCUCGUAUUGAAGUGUUAUAGCCUUUGGUAGAUGUAAUGAUCAAGAUCGAGGAUUGCAACGAAUACCCUUUGGGCUAUCCGUCUGAUCUCUGAUACGUUGCCUUGGUAACGAAAGCUUGCUUACGGUAUUGAGGUAUUACGGUCAAAAGGUUAGAACGUGAUUACAUUCGUUAAGGAUGUUGACGUAAUGG